Long non-coding RNA from Crotalus tigris (Tiger rattlesnake), 1531 nucleotides. RefSeq lists it as uncharacterized. The transcript has 3 exons. Lineage: Eukaryota; Metazoa; Chordata; Lepidosauria; Squamata; Viperidae. The record is from RefSeq and is a predicted model, not a curated record.
UAUCCAAAAUCCAGGGAGCAGGAUGUGGCACUAUUCCGCUGUUUUACUACAUAACAAAGCAUGGAUUGGAUCCUGAUGAAGAUUUUUUCUUUCAACAAUUUGGCGACCCAGAUGGGACUUCAAGCUAACAUCUCCAGUGGACUGAGACUGAAAGCGGGGAGGGGACCCUGUUCUCAUGUCUUUCAGCCUUGCACAGAUGACUCCCAUAACCUUUGGAAGAAGAGCACACUGCAGAGAAGACCCUCCAUUCAUUUCAGCCAUGGAAUUGGAUUUGAAUCCAGACAUCCACUAGAAAGCCACAAUGCCAUCAGAGUGGAACAGAUCUUCCCAAGUCCUACCAUCCCUCCCCCCCCAAGAUGCCUGUGAAAGGAGGAAGGAAGGAGUCCUGGAGCCAUUGGCCCUCAUGUGAAGCCUCAGAGGACAACUGGAAAGACUAUAGGGGAGGGCAGAAACUCAUUGUAAGGUUUUCUUUCUUGCCUCAUUUGUAUUGUAAUAAGCCAUUUGAAUGUAUUCAUGGAGGGAUGACAUUUGGGAAUGGUUGACACAGCAAGUAUUGAACACCUUGGUUCUUGUUCGUGGCACUAAAGCUUUGCAUACACAACUUCCUGCAAAUUCCAGGGGGAAUCAGGGCCCCCUCAGGUGAUUUGCAAUUCAUAUGCCCUUACUGAGGAGGUAACAGGAAAGAGAUCUGCAAACCCAAGCCCUGAAUAUGUUGCACUGGUGGACUCAUAGUGAGAGUCCUAGGGCUCACUAUGUGCAAUUUAAUAGCCUGGCUUGCACAGUGGUUAACCUCAAUUGAACAUCACAAACCUGGAUGCACUGAACUAAGUGCUAAGGCAGGAAACAACCCUUGAAAAUGGGCAGCUAGUGGUUAUGUACUGAGGCAAACAUGGCUGUGAAGAAUUUUGGAGGCAUGUGCUUCAAAAACAACAACAACACUGACUGGAAGCUCAAAGUGACAUCCAACAUCUGAAAAUAAUUGGCACAGAAUAUUGGACACUAUAAAUUUCUUUUCCAUCUAACAGAACUUUUGCUCUGACUUUUAGACCCUUAUGGGUUGGAGGCACCCCCUUUUUGGAGCCACUGCAGGAAUCUUUUCUGCUGCCUCUAUUAGUAUCUCCCCUUUUUGCGCUAAGAGUUUAAAAGCUUGUUAAUCAAGUCGCCCUGACCAGAUCAAUUUUAAUCUUGUGCCAGUAAAAGUGUGUCAUUCACACUUAUAUGGCACAAAGGGUGAAGACAGCACCCCCUCACAGAGAAAAAAAUAUUUUAGGGAUAUUGAAAAGGACAGAAUAUUAUUUUUUCCCAAAAGAAUAAUGGAGAAGAUAUUUAAAAGCCAGAAACUUCUCCCCCCCCCCAGUCAUAAACCCAGGCAGAAGUCAGCUCAGUAGAUAAUCCUUUCAAGAAGGUUGGAGAGCCAGGAAGCUGGAGCUAAUAUGACCUUUAGGACAUAAUAGGAUUAACCCACUACCAUCAGAAUACUAGCAAGGCACACUCAGACUCAGGUCAAAGUACAUGACACAGGAAAUACAAA